Molecule: non-coding RNA, 107 nt
Organism: Rhodocollybia butyracea
Lineage: Eukaryota; Fungi; Basidiomycota; Agaricomycetes; Agaricales; Omphalotaceae
Source: the annotation of a GenBank genome assembly
GGUAACGUGGCCGAGUGGUCUAAGGCGUUGGAUUUAAGCAUUGAUUCAUAUGAAUCACGUAUCCCAAUACGCGAGAGCGUGCGAGGGUUCGAACCCCUCCGUUACCA